This 253-nucleotide ribosomal RNA is filed under the name uncultured bacterium. RNAcentral describes it as "partial 16S ribosomal RNA". It matches the Rfam family "Bacterial small subunit ribosomal RNA", at positions 524 to 776 of the family's 1533-position model. The record is from RNAcentral.
UACAGAGGUCUCAAGCGUUGUUCGGAUUCAUUGGGCGUAAAGGGCGCGUAGGCGGGUUCUCAAGUCUGUGGUGAAAGCCCCCGGCUUAACCGGGGAAGUGCCGUGGAUACUGGGGACCUCGAGGGGGGUAGGGGCAUCUGGAACAGCCGGUGGAGCGGUGAAAUGCGUUGAUAUCGGAAGGAACGCCGGUGGCGAAAGCGAUCCGCUGGCCCUCUUCUGACGCUGAGGCGCGAAAGCCAGGGGAGCAAACGGG